AUACGUAGGUGGCGAGCGUUGUCCGGAUUUACUGGGCGUAAAGGGAGCGUAGGCGGACUUUUAAGUCGAGAUGUGAAAUACCCGGGCUCAACUUGGGUGCUGCAUUUCAAACUGGAAGUCUAGAGUGCAGGAGAGGAGAAGGGAAUUCCUAGUGUAGCGGUGAAAUGCGUAGAGAUUAGGAAGAACACCAGUGGCGAAGGCGCUUCUCUGGACUGUAACUGACGCUGAGGCUCGAAAGCGCGGGGAGC
Molecule: ribosomal RNA, 248 nt
Filed under: uncultured bacterium
Lineage: Bacteria
Description: partial 16S ribosomal RNA
Rfam family: Bacterial small subunit ribosomal RNA
Source: RNAcentral